AUGGUACUCCCUCCGUCCCAUAUUAAGUGACUCGGAUUUGCCCAAAUAUGGAUGUAUCUAUGCCUAAAUAGCGUCUAGAAACAUGUAAUAGAAAGUUAAAGUCACUUAAUAUGGGAUGGAGGGAGUAGGUC
Molecule: non-coding RNA, 131 nt
Organism: Brachypodium distachyon (stiff brome)
Lineage: Eukaryota; Viridiplantae; Streptophyta; Magnoliopsida; Poales; Poaceae
Source: Rfam